Molecule: ribosomal RNA, 253 nt
Filed under: uncultured bacterium
Lineage: Bacteria
Description: partial 16S ribosomal RNA
Rfam family: Bacterial small subunit ribosomal RNA
Source: RNAcentral
UACGUAGGGGGCAAGCGUUGUCCGGAUUAUUGGGCGUAAAGAGCGUGUAGGCGGCUAGAUAGGUCCGUUGUGAAAACUCGAGGCUCAACCUCGAGACGUCGAUGGAAACCAUCUAGCUAGAGUCCGGAAGAGGAGAGUGGAAUUCCUGGUGUAGCGGUGAAAUGCGCAGAUAUCAGGAAGAACACCCGUGGCGAAGGCGGCUCUCUGGUACGUGACUGACGCUGAGACGCGAAAGCGUGGGGAGCAAAACAGG